UUUUUCUUUUGUUUCUGAGGCAUAAUGUUGGCACGAACAGCCUUAGCAGCAGAAAUGGUAUCACUUUGGAUCUGCAUCAGUGUGCCCUUCUUCUUCCGAUCCGUCGAUGCGGAAGCCGCCACAGUAGCCGUCUGUGAAGGUAGCGAGGGUGGCGGUGCAGCAGGCGUCGACUGUGAUGAAGUGGAGGAGGUGGAUGAUCGAUGCAGAAGCCGCCACAGUCGCCGUCUGUGAAGGUAGUGAGGUUGGUGGUGCAGCAGGCGUCGACUGUGAUGAAGUGGAGGAGGUGGAUGAUGGGUCUGAUGUUAUCAGAUCCAUUAACGUCGUACCAGUCGAAUCCUGC
This 340-nucleotide long non-coding RNA is filed under the name Nicotiana benthamiana. Its description in RNAcentral is "long non-coding RNA (NBEN_LNC031694)". The record is from RNAcentral. Lineage: Eukaryota; Viridiplantae; Streptophyta; Magnoliopsida; Solanales; Solanaceae.